UUUUUAUGAGAGUUUGAUCCUGGCUCAGGACGAACGCUGGCGGCGUGCCUAAUACAUGCAAGUCGUACGCUUUUUUUCCACCGGAGCU
This 88-nucleotide ribosomal RNA is filed under the name Enterococcus faecium. RNAcentral's name for it is "partial 16S ribosomal RNA". It matches the Rfam family "Bacterial small subunit ribosomal RNA", at positions 1 to 88 of the family's 1533-position model. Lineage: Bacteria; Bacillati; Bacillota; Bacilli; Lactobacillales; Enterococcaceae. The record is from RNAcentral.